UGCGGGGGGGGCAAGCGUUGUUCGGAAUUACUGGGCGUAAAGGGCUCGUAGGCGGCCAACUAAGUCGGAUGUGAAAUCCCCAGGCUUAACCUGGGAACUGCAUCCGAUACUGGAUGGCUUGAAUCCGGGAGAGGGAUGCGGAAUUCCAGGUGUAGCGGUGAAAUGCGUAGAUAUCUGGAGGAACACCGGUGGCGAAGGCGGCAUCCUGGACCGGUAUUGACGCUGAGGCGCGAAAGCCAGGGGAGCAAACGGG
RNAcentral lists this ribosomal RNA (253 nucleotides) under uncultured bacterium. RNAcentral describes it as "partial 16S ribosomal RNA". It matches the Rfam family "Bacterial small subunit ribosomal RNA", at positions 524 to 776 of the family's 1533-position model. The record is from RNAcentral.